Molecule: long non-coding RNA, 297 nt
Filed under: Carica papaya (papaya)
Lineage: Eukaryota; Viridiplantae; Streptophyta; Magnoliopsida; Brassicales; Caricaceae
Description: long non-coding RNA (CPAP_LNC006158)
Source: RNAcentral
UGUAUCUAGCCCAAAAGGCCACUCUAGUCAUUCUCCUGAGCCAAGGCUCACUAGAAUGGCCCUCUUCACUAUUACCAAGGUAAAGUAAAGGGCCAAACCCGCAUUCAAUUCAUUAAUCAUCAAAUUUUCAUGCAUCAUGCACAAUACUUCAUGGUUUAAAUAGUGGUCAAACACCAAAGAGAUAUAUGCAACAAUCAUCAUGUUCAACCAUACCGUAUACAUAAACAAACAUCAAUUCUAGUAAAAAUUCAUGCAUCGUAGUCAUAACUCUUGUGUAUUGUACUUUAUUCAACUAUA